GUGUACAGCCAUACCACCCUGAACGUUCCUGAUUUCAUCUGAUCUCAGAAGCUAAGCAGGGUCGGGCCUGGUUAGUACUUGAAUGGGAGACCACCUAGGAAUACCAGAUGCUGUAGGCU
RNAcentral lists this ribosomal RNA (119 nucleotides) under Pteropus alecto (black flying fox). Lineage: Eukaryota; Metazoa; Chordata; Mammalia; Chiroptera; Pteropodidae. The record is from RNAcentral.